CUUAGGGAAACCGAUAAGUAUCCCACCUGGGGAGUACGCCGGCAACGGUGAAACUCAAAGGAAUUGACGGGGGCCCGCACAAGUGGUGGAGCAUGUGGUUUAAUUCGAUGAUACGCGAGGAACCUUACCUAGGCUAGAAUGCGCGUGACCGGCUCAGAGAUGAGCCUUUCCUUCGGGACACAAAGCAAGGUGCUGCAUGGCCGUCGUCGGCUCGUGCCGUGAGGUGUUGGGUUAAGUCCCGCAACGAGCGCAACCCCUAUGGUUAGUUGCCAGCACGUAAUGGUGGGGACUCUAGCCAGACUGCCUGCGCAAGCAGUGAGGAAGGCGGGGACGACGUCAGGUCAUCAUGGCCCUUACGCCUAGGGCGACACACGUGCUACAAUGGACGGUACAGCGGGUAGCUACCAGGCGACUGGAUGCCAAUCUCGAAAAGCCGUUCUCAGUUCGGAUUGGAGUCUGCAACUCGACUCCAUGAAGCUGGAAUCACUAGUAAUCGCGCAUCAGCCAUGGCGCGGUGAAUACGUUCCCGGGCCUUGUACACACCGCCCGUCAAGCCAUGAAAGUCUGGUAGACCUGAAGCUGGUGCUCGUCACAGAAGCCAGUUAGGGUAGAACAGGUAAUUAGGGCUAA
Molecule: ribosomal RNA, 630 nt
Filed under: uncultured bacterium
Lineage: Bacteria
Description: bacterial SSU rRNA
Rfam family: Bacterial small subunit ribosomal RNA
Source: RNAcentral